AGACAUAACUCGACAUCAUCGAUAUAAUAGUUCAUAAAGUCAGAUAUAGGCCAUAUAUGUUCUCCUUGUAGACACCACCAGUAAAUACAUUGUACAUGACUUAGUUGCCUCAUCCUGAUCUAUUCUCAUACGGUAUGGUAGACAAAAGAUAGUACUCAGCGUACAUAAGGACCUUGAUCAUCGUCGUGCCUUCCUGUUGCCUUUGACUUAACCAAAUGCCUACAAAGAACCACAUUAGUGGCUACAUAAGCGAGUAGAAUAAUAGUACCAACAAAUAUAGCCAAUGACCAAUGUCUAAAGGUACUAAUCGCAAUCGCAAUUCAUUCUGGAGGUUACUUGAUAAUUAGCACGAACAUGUGAGAAGAGGUGGCAGCUCACCUACGGCAUGGAGCAUAAAAAAUAUUAGGAGCUCUUCCUUUCCCGUAGUAUGAACAUGACAUCGCUGCAUUGCACCUUGAUGCGUCACCACUUCCACCAGCCAAUUAGCAGGAGCUAUCGAUUUGUAUUUGCAACCACACAUGCUGUUUAGGCAGCUUCAAUAAUAUCUAAAAGAAAGACCAUUAUGUUGAUUACAGCAGCAGCAAAGAGUACUAUUUUGAAUCAGAUAACGAAUCACUUGUAUUCUAUACCUAAGCCAUAAAUAUGAACAACUUACCUAUAAACUACACAUCUUUCAGACACUCGGACCCAUAGUGCUCCUUGGAGCAGUCCUAUAUCUCAAAAGAUAAUCAUUCACCUGCAUGGGCAAGUAAAUAGGCUUCAUUAACAAAAUGUAGCAUCCAUCUUAAGUCCUAGACAUAACAAAGAUACCAUUACUCCUACUUGCCUCAUCAAGAUCUGGGACUUUAGGAGCUAUACCAUAAGGUGCUUUUAUUGCAAUUAGAAUCUGAUUCAUAAAGUUACAAAUUGGAAAAUAGUUGAGCUCAAGAAGCUGGAGAAAGAUGGCACAUUGUUGAGCACAAGAGGUUGUUCUCACUUGCAUAUUUGCACAGUUUAAUUUAUUGGAGUGCUCCUGUGUAAUUUUUUAAAAGGAAAAAAUGGGAAAUAGUUUGCAAUCAACGGUUUAAGGAUAGAUUAUUUAGAAAUGAGAAUGUUUUCAUCAAACAAACAAAGCAUCAUAAGGAAAAUAUGAGCCCAUUCAUAGUAUACAACUACUGUGAGCUAUCAAAAUGCAUGAUUCUUCUGUGAGACAUGCUUUAUCCAACUAACUGUUAACAGCAGAAGAGGGGAACUCAGAGCAUCUCCAGCCGUUGGCCCCCUAGGAGGGGCUAACAAUCGCCCCCUGGGGGCGCACCGGCGCUAAACCGCGCGUUGGGGGCGUGAUGCCCCCCAGUCGCAGCGCCCACAUUUUUUUUAAAACUUAAAUACGGCGCAAACAUGGCUCAAAUUUAACGCAAACAUCGGCGAGUUCGUUCAAAUUUAAACAUAUUUUACAAAAAAGAAAAAAAACUACUAGGGGCUGCUCCUCGCCGUCUCCAUCGCCGCUCCUCGCUGUCUCCCUCGCCGCUCCUCGCCGCCCGCCGCCCGCCCUUGCAGUUCUACAUGCCGAGGAGGCUGUAGAACCGCGUGUAGUCGUCGCCGCCGCCGCCGCCGUCCCUGCUGCAUCCCUCCCCUGGUUGGCGCGGUGGGUUGGACGGUCCGGGGGCGUCCUCGUCGUCAUCGCUGUCGAGGAUCACGACGGCGGUGGAGGAUCUGUGCGUGUCUCCGGCACGCUGGUGGUCGGCUUAUAUAGGCGGAGGCGCCGCGUAGUACGCGUGGCAGGCAAGGGGACGCGCGUCGCCCGGCCUUCACUGCGCCGCCCGUGAGGCAUCAAUGGAGGCUGACCGGCGCGGCAGCGCGCGCAGCUUUGGCAUUGAUUCGCCGUGGGGAACGAGGCAAUGAGGACGACGAAGCGGCGAGAAGAGAGUCGAGUCGCUGGCAAGGGGGGCCCGCGGCUCUUCGUGCCAAAAACGAUUCGCCCGGCGCCCCCGAGCGCCGGGUUCGGGUUGGGUCCGCCGGCGCCAAUUUCGGCCCGAGCCGGCGAAAACUGGGCCCUUGGGGGCGCGACUGGGCCGUUUUUUUGGCGCCGGCGGCCGAAAAAUCGCCUGGGGGGCCUUGUUGGGGGCGCGGCUGGAGAUGCUCUCAUAGGAAGAUUUAAGGCUAGGAACAUGGUAUUUUAGGUAACUUGUUUAUACAUGAGCUCAUAGAUCAUCGUCCAAAUGAACAGUAUAUUAUUAGUAUUCUUAUUAGAAGUGAACCUACAGGAUGCAUCAUCAAUUACAGAGUCCCAUUUUAAUGUUUCAGCCUACUACUACUGGUAUAAUAUGUCACAACACAGCCAAUGCAAUACUAUUGAAUAGGAAAUAUAACAUUUCGUAGGCACUUCUGGCACGACUGUUGGAAUGAAUAAUUUCAGUGCUCUCUCACCCAGUGAAUGGUGGUAAUACCUCAAAUAUAUUGUUUGAUCAUAAUAUAUAUUCUUUAUCAGGUUUUGAGUAUCACAAUGGGGUAAUAUCCUACCAUGUAAAGUCAGAACGGCUGUAGUUAUAUUGGCAAAAUCAUGAAAUCAAUUAAUUCCGUUAUUACUUAAUUAUACUUUGGAAUGUUGCUGGUGUCAUUACAAAGAAAAUAUGUUCAUUAAGCAUAUGAUAAUAAUAGACUUAUUGAUAUUAUUCGCAUGGGAUUAACCACAGCUUAUAAGGUCUCAGUUAAUUUAACCUGAUGCCAUUUGAAUAUUGUCCUCUGCAGCAGGCUCACUACUUAUAGCACCCAUAUCAAUGAGCUCAACCUGCUUGUUAUUACCAAGGCUACU
RNAcentral lists this long non-coding RNA (2791 nucleotides) under Triticum aestivum (bread wheat). RNAcentral's name for it is "long non-coding RNA (TAES_LNC009264)". The record is from RNAcentral. Lineage: Eukaryota; Viridiplantae; Streptophyta; Magnoliopsida; Poales; Poaceae.